Diorhabda sublineata is the source of this 2390-nucleotide RNA transcript. It is a transcript of the gene named transcription factor Adf-1-like, with no coding region annotated. The record is from RefSeq and is a predicted model, not a curated record. The transcript is spliced from 7 exons. NCBI's taxonomy places the organism in Eukaryota, Metazoa, Arthropoda, Insecta, Coleoptera, Chrysomelidae.
GUAAGACGUAACCUAAAAAUAUUAUAAAUUGAAAUAUUUCUUCACACAUUCGCAGUUGAAUUGUAUGAAAUGUAUAUUAUUUAAAAUAAAUGUACACUGGUUUGUGAUGUAUCUCCAAUUUACCAGGCUUCAUCUUAUUUUAGAGAAAACUAACAAUAUUUCAAAAUGACUGAAUCUGAUUUGACUUCUGUGUGGGAUGUUGAUAUUGGACUAUUAAUUAAGAUGGUUAAAAAUUUUCCUUAUCUUUAUAACCAAAAUUAUGAGGAAUUUAAAAAUGUAGAAUUGAGAGAACGAACAUGGGCGAAAAUUUCAACAAACCUCAAAAUUUCUAUCAGUGAUUGUCAAAGACUUUGGAAAAAUUUAAGAGACAAAUAUAGUCGAGAGAGAAGGUCACUCAAUGGACAAGGAAGUUCCGCAUGGGAAUUUUAUGAAUCAAUGAAAUUUCUCGAUGGUUUCGUACGUCGUAGAAGAAGGGCGAAGAAAUCUCAAAAUAGAAAUUUGAUUAACAAUUCAAGUACCAAGAAUGAGAUUAAAAAGGAAGAUAAUAAUUCAGCUACCGAGAUUCAAGUAUGGGACGAAGAGACUGUCGAUUCGAGCAUUUCCCCAGAAAAUUUACAAUUUUUAGAGGAUGAAAAUUAUGAUAACGGAGAGGCGGAAAUUACGUUAGAUCUGAUUGAUAAUUUACCAGUGAAAGAGGUUAACGAACAAGAGAAUUCGGUUAAUAUUGUAAGAUAUCGAACAUCCGAAGAGGCUUUUGGUGCUUACGUGGCCUCUAGACUUUUAGAUUUUCCUUUAGAUGAUCGACAAGCGAAGAAAGUCAAAAUAUUCAAAGUUUUGGAAGAUCUAGAUCAUAUUUUGUAGCUCUGCUUAUUAUUUUAUAUAUAUGUAUAUGUUUUGUUAUAGAACUCGCACGUAAAUUUUGUAUAAAUGUUAAAAAAAAUUUUUUUUCAUUUGCCCUCGCUCUACAGAGAAAAAGUUUUUCUAUAUCAGAGCCAUUCUAAAAAUAAUCAUACCCCACACUCUUUUUUUCUUCUUCAUAGAGUACUAAACCGAAACAUUUUGAUUAAUAAAAUAACUACAUUACAUGAUAUCAUCUCACUUGUCUAUUUGUUAACGCACUACGAGGGUUGCCUGAAAAGUUAACCUAACUCAACAAACUAUAUUUGUUUUCAUAAUCAUUUUGAUUCCUCAACGUAGUCUUACUCCAAUCUUCUUAAUCUUUCCAAAUAUGUGAUAAGUUUAUUCGAUUUGCAGCAUUUUUUAUUGUUGAAUGCUCUAGUGCAGUUUUUACCAAACCAUGGAUUGUUGUCUGCAAACACCUUGGGUUGAAGUACUAUACCUGCCAGGAUUACUUCCUAAAUCGCGUUUGAAUACACUGAAAGGUCAUUGGAAUUGAAGCAAACAUCAUUACAAAGAAAUAUAAAGACAAAAUCCUUUAGAUGCCUCCAUUUGGCCGAUCUAUAUUGCCAAGCGGAUCCUAACUUUGAAUGUUUUUUUACACUUUUCUGUAAUUAGUUUGUGAUCUGAUGAUUCUAGUGGUACAAGUACAGUCGCAUUGUACAGACAAGGGUCUGUUGGUAGAAACAGGUCUAAGAGGCUACCAAAGUCACCAUCUCAAUCGGGGAUGCUAGUUGGUUCUUUGAUAAGUUGAGUUAGUACGUGACUAUUGAUAAAAUCUUCAGUUUCCCGCCCCUCAUUCAGCUGAUGUGAUGAACAUGAAAGUCACCAGCGAUAACAAUAUCUGCGUUUGGAUGGUUUGACUGCAGAUAAUCGAUUUGUCCGGCGAGGUCUGCGUAUAUCUGCCUAGGAAGACUUUUGUACUUUGAGUGGUUGUUUUAAACCACAAUAUCAAAUUCUAAAAGAUCAAGAUACUUUCGAUAUAAAAGAAAUAUACUCUUUAGAUAUUUUGGUCUGAUAAAUCCUCCAGACCAGCCUCCACCCGGAUAUCCGAACGGGAUAUUUUAGUCUAGAAGGUGCCAUCAUGUUUCUUUUCGCACCCUGGAAACCGGAUACAUCGGCACAUCGACGAAACUUGGAACCCUUAGGGCCAAUUCACGUCACCUAGAUCCGAUGCGGUGGUAUUUCACCUGUUUGGGUACAAUAUAAAAUAAAACAUUAAAGUCAACAAGCUUUAUUGUAAAAUGUAAAAAUAUUUAAUACUUACAUAAUACUAUACAUGAUUAUAAAAAAAGAAAAUACAAAAAAAUACUUGAAAUUACUACAAAAUUUGUUUCAAUAUUUCUGUCGUUCAAAACAAAUUGUUGCUUUUGUCACUGUCUUACUCGGUAGGGAAAAGGGUCGCACAAUCAACUGCUUUCAUUUCAUCAUAAAAAGUGAAUUAUGUAAGAUUUGUAAUGGUGUUACAACAUUCAAUAAAUUUCAAGAAAAUU